This is a non-coding RNA of Gossypium hirsutum (cotton), 146 nucleotides long. Lineage: Eukaryota; Viridiplantae; Streptophyta; Magnoliopsida; Malvales; Malvaceae. The record is from Rfam.
UGUUAAAAUUUUCCCUCCAUUCCUACUGAUAAAAACUGACUUGAUUGACUAAAUAACCAAAUAGUUACACAUGGCGUGCUAUGUGUACCUCAUGUUGAUGUACGAGGACUAAUUUUUAACAAUAGAAAUAGAUGAAAGUUUUAACA